Anolis sagrei ordinatus is the source of this 248-nucleotide non-coding RNA. NCBI's taxonomy places the organism in Eukaryota, Metazoa, Chordata, Lepidosauria, Squamata, Anolidae. The record is from RefSeq and is a predicted model, not a curated record.
GAGAGAAAAAUAACGUAACAUUCAUUUGUAUGCGAACUCCGCUGAUCAGACGUGACUUGUCAGGGGGGACGCGUUCAUUCCUGAAAGAAGGAACUCAGAGCGGCGUAUGCACACGAAAAGGCAGAUUUUUAAAAGCUGCAUAGUAGAGUACAUACAUGUUCUUCUCAAAUUAUGAAUUCACAGUUUAAUGUGGGAUCAGGAUGAAACAAAUAUAACACUGGGAAAAUAAAGACUGAAAUCAAACUUGA